GCUCCGGUGGCAUACUGUUUCGAGCGCCUGCCUCGGAUGCGGGAGGUCACGGGUUCAAGACCAGGCCGAAACA
Potamilus streckersoni is the source of this 73-nucleotide non-coding RNA. NCBI's taxonomy places the organism in Eukaryota, Metazoa, Mollusca, Bivalvia, Unionida, Unionidae. The record is from the annotation of a GenBank genome assembly.